UCAUAUGUACAUGUCUACAAUGUUAAUGCAAUGGAUCCCAUUAGAACUCCGUAGUUAAGUGCGCUUGGGCUAGAGUAGUACUGGGAUGGGUGACCUCCCGAGAAGUCCUAGUGUUUUACAUGCC
This is a non-coding RNA of Picea glauca (white spruce), 124 nucleotides long. The record is from Rfam. NCBI's taxonomy places the organism in Eukaryota, Viridiplantae, Streptophyta, Pinopsida, Pinales, Pinaceae.